Molecule: non-coding RNA, 5231 nt
Organism: Xyrichtys novacula (pearly razorfish)
Lineage: Eukaryota; Metazoa; Chordata; Actinopteri; Labriformes; Labridae
Source: the annotation of a GenBank genome assembly
AGGUCUUGGGGCUAGGGGAAGGUUUAAGGUUUUUGGCGUUAGGGUUAAAAUCACUGUCCAAAACCUUUGUAGGAACUCUUUUCCAACCUUUUGGAGUUAGUUAGACCAAAUAAUAAUGAAAAAUGAAAAAAAAAUAUUUGGGGUAUUCGGGCUUCCUGAAGGUAAUACCCGGGUAUUAGGUUUUGGGGCUAGGGAAAGGUUUAAGGUUUUUGGCGUUAGGGUUAAAAUCACUGUCCAAAACCUUUUUAGGAACAUGUUUCAGACCUUUUGGAGUUAGUAAGACCAAAAAAUAACGAAAAAUGAAAAAAAUAAAUAUUUGGGGUGUUCGGGCUUCCUGAAGGUAAUACCCGGGUAUUAGGUUUUGGGGGUAGGGAAAGGUUUAAGGUUUUUGGCGUUAGGGAUAAAAUCACUGUCCAAAACCUUUGUAGGAACUCUUUUCCAACCUUUUGGAGAUGGUUUGACCAAAAAAAAAGAAAAAAGAAAAAAAAAAUAUUUGGGGUUUUCGGGCUUCCUGAAGGUAAUACCAGCGUAUUAGGUUUUGGGGCUAGGGUAAGGUUUAAGGUUUUUGGCGUUAGGGUUAAAAUCACUGUCCAAAACCUUUGUAGGAACUCUUUUCCAACCUUUUGGAGUUAGUUAGACCAAAAAAAAAAAAAAAAAAUGAAAAAAAAAUAUUUGGGGUUUUCGGGCUUCCUGAAGGUAUUAGGUUUUGGGGCUACGGGAAGGUUUAAGGUUUUUGGCGUAAGGGUUAAAAUCACUGUCCAAAACCUUUGUAGGAACUCUUUUCCAACAUUUUGGAGUUAGUUAGUCCAAAUAAUAAUGAAAAAUGAAAAAAAAAUAUUUGGGGUUUUCGGGAUUCUUGAAGGUAUUAGGUUUUGGGGCUACGGGAAGGUUUAAGGUUUUUGGCGUUGGGGUUAAAAUCACUGUCCAAAACCUUUGUAGGAACUCUUUUCCAACCUUUUGGAGUAAGUUUCACCGAAAAAAAACAAUGAAAAAUGAAAAAAAAAUAUUUGGGGUUUUCGGGCUUCCUGAAGGUAUUACCCGGGUAUUAGGUUUUGGGGCUAGGGGAAGGUUUAAGGUUUUUGGCGUUAGGGUUAAAAUCACUGUCCAAAACCUUUGUAGGAACUCUUUUCCAACAUUUUGGAGUUAAUUAGACCAAAUAAUAAUGAAAAAUGAAAAAAAAAAAAUUGGGGUUUUCGGGAUUCCUGAAGGUAAUACCCGCGUAUUAGGUUUUGGGGCUAGGGGAAGGUUUAAGGUUUUUGGCGUUAGGGUUAAAAUCACUGUCCAAAACCUUUGUAGGAACUCUUUUCCAACCUUUUGGAGUUAGUUAGACCAAAAAAAAAAAAAAAAAGAAAAAAAAUAUUUGGGGUUUUCGGGCUUCCUGAAGGUAAUACCCGGGUAUUUGGUUUUGGGGCUAGGGUAAGGUUUAACGUUUUUGGCGUUAGGGUUAAAAUCACUGUCCAAAACCUUUGUAGGAACUCUUUUCCAACCUUUUGGAGUUAGUUAGACCAAUAAAAAAUGAAAAAUGAAGAAAAAAUAUUUGGGGUUUUCGGGCUUCCUGAAGGUAUUAGGUUUUGGGGCUAGGGGAAGGUUUAAGGUUUUUGGUGUUAGGGUUAAAAUCACUGUCCAAAACCUUUGUAGGAACUCUUUCCCAAUAUUUUGGAGUUAGUUAGACCAAAUAAUAAUGAAAAAUGCAAAAAAAAUAUUUGGGGUUUUCGGGCUUCGUGAAGGUAAUACCCGCGUAUUUGGUUUUGGGGCUAGGGUAAGGUUUAAUGUUUUUGGCGUUGGGGUUAAAAUCACUGUCCAAAACCUUUGUAGGAACUCUUUUCCAACCUUUUGGAGUAAGUUAGACCAAAAAAAAAAAGAAAAGAAAAAAAAAUAUUUGGGGUUUUCGGGCUUCCUGAAGGUAAUACCAGGUUAUUAGGUUAUGGGGCUAGGGUAAGGUUUAAGGUUUUUGGCGUUAGGGUUAAAAUCACUGUCCAAAACCUUUUAAGGAACUCUUUUCAGACCUUUUGGAGUAAGUUAGACCAAAAAAUAAAAAAGAAAAGAAAAAAAAAUAUUUGGGGUUUUCGGGCUUCCUGAAGGUAAUACCCGGGUAUUAGGUUUUGGGGCUAGGGAAAGGUUUAAGGUUUUUGGCGUUAGGGUUAAAAUCACUGUCCAAAACCUUUUUAGGAACAUGUUUCAGACCUUUUGGAGUUAGUAAGACCAAAAAAUAACGAAAAAUGAAAAAAAAAAUAUUUGGGGUGUUCGGGCUUCCUGAAGGUAAUACCCGGGUAUUAGGUUUUGGGGCUAGGGAAAGGUUUAAGGUUUUUGGCGUUAGGGUUAAAAUCACUGUCCAAAACCUUUGUAGGAACUCUUUUCCAACCUUUUGGAGUUAGUUAGACCAAAUAAUAAUGAAAAAUGAAAAAAAAAAUAUUUGGGGUAUUCGGGCUUCCUGAAGGUAAUACCCGGGUAUUUGGUUUUCGGGCUAUGGUAAGGUUUAAGGUUUUUGGCGUUAGGGUCAAAAUCACUGUCCAAAACCUUUGUAGGAACUCUUUUCCAACCUUUUGGAGUUAGUUAAACCAAAAAAAAAAAAGAAAAAAGAAAAAAAAUAUUUUGGGUUUUUGGGAUUCCUGAAGGUAAUACCCACGUAUUAGGUUUUGGGGCUAGGGGAAGGUUUAAGGUUUUUGGCGUUAGGGUUAAAAUCACUGUCCAAAACUUUUGUAGGAACUCUUUUCCAACAUUUUGGAGGUAGUUAGACUAAAUGAUAAUGAAAAAUGCAGAAAAAAUAUUUGGGGUUUUCGGGCUUCCUGAAGGUAAUACCCGCGUAUUAGGUUUUGGGGCUACGGUAGGUUUAAGGUUUUUGGCGUUGGGCUUAAAAUCACUGUCCAAAACCUUUGUAGGAACUCUUUUCCAACCUUUUGGAGAUAGUUACACCAAAAAAAACAAAAAAAAAAUGAAAAAAAUAUAUUUGGGGUUUUCGGGCUUCUUGAAGGUAUUAGGCUUUGGGGCUACGGGAAGGUUUAAGGUUUUUGGCGUAAGGGUUAAAAUCACUGUCCAAAACCUUUGUAGGAACUCUUUUCCAACCUUUUGGAGUUAGUUACACCAAAUAAUAAUGAAAAAUGAAAAAAAAAUAUUUGGGGUUUUCGGGAUUCCUGUAAUACCCGGUAUUAGUUUAUGGGGCUAGGGUAAGGUUUAAGGUUUUUGGCGUUAGGGUUAAAAUCACUGUCCAAAACCUUUGUAGGAACUCUUUUCCAACCUUUUGGAGUUAGUUAGACCAAAAAAAAAUGAAAAAUGAAAAAAAAAUAUUUGGGGUUUUCGGGCUUCCUGAAGGUAAUACCCGGGUAUUAGGUUUUGGGGCUAGGGGAAGGUUUAAGGUUUUUGGCGUUAGGGUUAAAAUCACUGUCCAAAACCUUUGUAGGAACUCUUUUCCAACCUUUUGGAGUUAGUUAGACCAAAAAAAAUGAAAAAAUGAAAAAAAAAAAUUUGGGGUUUUCGGGCUUCCUGAAGGUAAUACCCGGUAUUAGGUUUUGGGAAUAGGGUAAGGUUUAACGUUUUUGGCGUUAGGGUCAAAAUCACUGUCCAAAACCUUUGUAGGAACUCUUUUCCAACCUUUUGGAGUUAGUUACACCAAAAAAAAAAAAAUGAAAAAUGAAAAAGAAAUAUUUGGGGUAUUUGGGCUUCCUGAAGGUAAUACCCAUAUUAGGUUAUGGGGCUAUGGUAAGAUUUAAGGUUUUUGGCGUGAGGGCUAAAAUCACUGUCCAAAACCUUUGUAGGAACUCUUUUCCAACCUUUUGGAUUUAGUUACACCAAAAAAUAAUAAUGAAAAAUGAAAAAAAAAUAUUUGGGGUUUUCGGGCUUCCUGAAGGUAUUAGGUUUUGGGGCUAGGGGAAGGUUUAAGGUUUUUGGCGUUGGGGUUAAAAUCACUGUCCAAAACCUUUGUAGGAACUCUUUUCUAACCUUUUGGAGUUAGUUAGACCAAAAAAAAAAAAAGAAAAAAGAAGAAAAAUAUUUGGGGUUUUCCGGCUUCCUGAAGGUAUUACCCGGGUAUUAGGUUUUGGGGCUAGGUUAGGUUUAAGGUUUUUGGCGUUGGGGUAAAAUCACUGUCCAAAACCUUUGUAGGAACUCUUUUCCAACCUUUUGGAGUUAGUUAGACCAAAAAAUAAAGAAAAAUGAAAAAAAAAUAUUUGGGUUUUUCGGGCUUCCUGAAGGUAUUAGAUUUUGGGGCUAGGGUAAGGUUUAAGGUAUUUGGCGUUAGGGUUAAAAUCACUGUCCAAAACCUUUGUAGGAACUCUUUUCCAACAUUUUGGAGUUAGUUAGACCAAAAAAAAAAUGAAAAAUGAAAAAAAAAUACUCGGGGUAUUAGGGCUUCCUGAAGGUAAUACCCGGGUAUAAGGUUUUGGGGCUUGGGUAAGGUUUAAGGUUUUUGGCGUCAGGGUUAAAAUCACUGUCCAAAACCUUUGUAGGAACUCUUUUCGAACCUUUUGGUGUUAGUUAGACCCAAAAAAAAAAGAAGAAAAAAAAACAAUAUAUAUAUGUUGUGUUCGGGCUUCCUGAAGGUAAUAACCGGGUAUUUGGUUAUGGGGCUAGGGUAAGGUUUAAGGUUUUUGGCGUUAGGGUUAAAAUCACUGUCCAAAACCUUUUGAGGAACAUGUUUCAGACCUUUUGGAGUUGGUUACACCAAAAAACAAUUUAAAAUGAAAAAAGUAUAUUUGGGGUUUUCGGGCUUCCUGAAGGUAAUUCCCGGGUAUUAGGUUUUGGGGCUAGGGUAAGGUUUAAGGUUUUUGGCGUUAGGGUUAAAAUCACUGUCCAAAACCUUUGUAGGAACUCUUUUCCAACCUUUUGGAGUUAGUAACACCGAAAAAAAAAGAAAAAAGAAAAAAAUAUUUGGGGUUUUCGGGCUUCCUGAAGGUAUUAGGUUUUGGGGCUAGGGGAAGGUUUAAGGUUUUUGGCGUUGGGGUUAAAAUCACUGUCCAAAACCUUUGUAGGAACUCUUUUCCAACCUUUUGGAGUUAGUUAGACCAAAAAAAAAAAGAACAAAGAAAAAAAAUAUUUGGGGUUUUCGGGCUUCCUGAAGGUAAUACCCGGGUAAUAGGUAAUGGGGCUUUGGUAGGUUUAAGGUUUUCUGCGUUGGGGUUAAAAUCACUGUCCAAAACCUUUGUAGGAACUCUUUUCCAACCUUUUGGAGUUAGUUACACCAAAAAAACAAAAGAAAAAUGAAAAAAAAAUAUUUGGGGUUUCCGGGCUUCCUGAAG